Paramisgurnus dabryanus is the source of this 479-nucleotide long non-coding RNA. RefSeq lists it as uncharacterized. The record is from RefSeq and is a predicted model, not a curated record. Lineage: Eukaryota; Metazoa; Chordata; Actinopteri; Cypriniformes; Cobitidae.
ACUAGCUGCGACAUCUAGUGACGACAUUUACCGGGCUUUAACGGUUGUAGCUGCAUGAAGUCUGCUGCAAUUUCUCUGAGAUUUCUCAAGAUCAUCAGUUUGGACAGAAUUCAUUUGAAGAAUUAAUAGCACUAGCAGGUUCCAAUAAAGGCUGGAACAGAACAGACAGAAAAGAAUCUGUCAGAAGAAAUUCAACUACUGUUCGUGCACCAGAUGGUGAAGUAGAAAAGUUCGUAAAAACUUCUGCAGCUUGCAUCUGACAGAGAUGCAAAAAGAAUAAGAGAGCGGGCCUGAAAACAAGCAAAUUCAAGUCUUUCCUUCUUUUAGGGUACACUUGAGGAGUGUCCAGAUGUUUAUUAAUGUUUUAUUAAUGUAAUGUUAUGUUUCAAAUAAACAUGUAAACAUACUGUAUAUUUUUCUUUCUUUUUUAAACACCUACAGUAAAGUGUGACACUUAACACAUUAAAAGCAUCACAAAC